GGAAGUUAAGAAACUGUUUAUUAACUUUUAACUAAAAAAACUAAGAACCGGUUCUUAAAUGGUUUUUAGCUUUUUUAGUUAAAAGUUAAGAAACCGUUUCUUGACUUCC
MicroRNA precursor from Brassica oleracea var. oleracea, 109 nucleotides. It matches the Rfam family "MIR9563 microRNA precursor family". The record is from Rfam. NCBI's taxonomy places the organism in Eukaryota, Viridiplantae, Streptophyta, Magnoliopsida, Brassicales, Brassicaceae.